RNAcentral lists this ribosomal RNA (497 nucleotides) under uncultured bacterium. RNAcentral describes it as "partial 16S ribosomal RNA". It matches the Rfam family "Bacterial small subunit ribosomal RNA", at positions 28 to 507 of the family's 1533-position model. The record is from RNAcentral.
GAUGAACGCUGGCGGCGUGCCUAAUACAUGCAAGUCGAGCGAACAGACGAGGAGCUUGCUCCUCCGACGUUAGCGGCGGACGGGUGAGUAACACGUGGAUAACCUACCUAUAAGACUGGGAUAACUUCGGGAAACCGGAGCUAAUACCGGAUAAUAUAUUGAACCGCAUGGUUCAAUAGUGAAAGACGGUUUUGCUGUCACUUAUAGAUGGAUCCGCGCCGCAUUAGCUGGUUGGUAAGGUCACGGCUUACCAAGGCAACGAUGCGUAGACGACGGGAGGGACUGGUCGGCGACAUGGGAGCGUGAACGGGGUCCAUGCGCCUACGGUAGGCAGCAGUAGGGAAUGGGCCGCAACAGGCGAAAGCCUGACGGAGUAACGGGGCGUGAGAGAUGAAGGUGCCGGGUGCGGAAAACUCGGUUAUGAGGGGAGAACAAAUGUGUAAGUAAAUAUGCACGUCUUGACGGUACCUGAUCAGAAAGCCACGGCUAACUACGUG